RNAcentral lists this ribosomal RNA (793 nucleotides) under uncultured archaeon. RNAcentral's name for it is "bacterial SSU rRNA". It matches the Rfam family "Archaeal small subunit ribosomal RNA", at positions 31 to 824 of the family's 1478-position model. The record is from RNAcentral.
UAUUGGAGUCCGAUUUAGCCAUGCUAGUUGCACGAGUUCAGACUCGUAGCAGAUAGCUCAGUAACACGUGGCCAAACUACCCUCUGGAGCACGAUAACCUCGGGAAACUGAGGCUAAUAGUGCAUACCGCUCGACGCCUGGAACUGGCUCGAGCCAGAAAUGCCCCGGCGCCAGAGGAUGUGGCUGCGGCCGAUUAGGUAGACGGUGGGGUAACGGCCCACCGUGCCAAUAAUCGGUACGGGUUGUGAGAGCAAGAGCCCGGAGACGGUAUCUGAGACAAGAUACCGGGCCCUACGGGGCGCAGCAGGCGCGAAACCUUUACACUGCACGCCAGUGCGAUAAGGGGACUCCAAGUGCGAGGGCAUAACGUCCUCGCUUUUUGUGAUCGUAAGGUGGUCACAGAAUAAGGGCUGGGCAAGACCGGUGCCAGCCGCCGCGGUAAUACCGGCAGCCCAAGUGAUGGCCGCUCUUAUUGGGCCUAAAGCGUCCGUAGCUGGCCGCGCAAGUCCAUCGGGAAAUCUGUCCGCCUAACGGACAGGCGUCCGGCGGAAACUGUGCGGCUUGGGACCGGAAGACCAGAGGGGUACGUCUGGGGUAGGAGUGAAAUCCUGUAAUCCUGGACGGACCACCGGUGGCGAAAGCGCCUCUGGAAGACGGAUCCGACGGUGAGGGACGAAAGCUCGGGUCACGAACCGGAUUAGAUACCCGGGUAGUCCGAGCUGUAAACGAUGUCUGCUAGGUGUGGCACAGGCUACGAGCCUGUGCUGUGCCGUAGGGAAGCCGUGAAGCAGAC